GCUCGAGCCGCCACCUCGAGCCGUGUCCCAGAGUUCCGAAGGACCUCGCGCUUCAUGCCGCGACGGCACUCUCCUGACCCCUCCUCUCGACGCCACGCCUCCCGCCAUCUACCGGCCGGCCGCCUCGGAGAACGUGGGAUCGCAGAGACGGUAACACGCCUGCCGAGGAUACCCGGCGUAGCUCUCGCAUCCACCGAAGCGGCGUCGUUCACGAGUGGAGCCUCCGGCACCAUCAACCCAGUCCCCUGCUGGUGAAACGGCAUCUUCAUGGUCAGGUGGUGUGAAGAGAGAGGAGGACGGGCACUGCAGAUGGCGAGCACCUUGGCAUCAAAUCUGCAGAGCUCAAGGAAAUGAGGCAAAAGACGGGGAGCUGUAACGACCCAGAAGUGAAGACGUCUGAGACGCAUGCCCCCCGCCCCACGGUACAUAUCCUCAUCUCCACGUGUCCUCAAAGCAACAGUUUUCAGCAUGACCCAUCUUCCCCGGCUGAGUUCAAAAGGACCUCGUGUGCCGAUCGCCUAGAAAUGCCUCCGCUGCGAGCUGUGGCGGGUCCUCCCGAUCGACCCUGGGCCACUGUGAAGCUCUCUUCUGGGUAAGCGCGUGCAUUCAGGGUGCUAGAAUUGGAUUCGUGAACUUCCAGGCAUAAACAUAGCCUCGUGACUCCGUCGUUAUAAGACCUCCCCCUCCCGCAUCCCCAGUCUAGGAGGGCCAAAACCUCAGCGUCUGAUCUGCACAGGUGUUUAUGGCCAGAAGGUUCUCCCAGGCAAAGCAGCUAUUUCUUUGGAGUCUCUGUGUAUGGGGGGAAAAUGACUCUGUGGGAGGGUCGGGUUGGGGUACGUCUCUGGACAUGAGCAGCAGGGGCCCAGGCCAACUAGCUACCUGACACAAGUAUCGAAAUGUUGCGAUUCCGCGGAAUCGCAACAUUUCAUCUAUGAGUACCAUUCUUUGCCGUGUGUGCCGCCAAA
Molecule: long non-coding RNA, 965 nt
Organism: Pteropus alecto (black flying fox)
Lineage: Eukaryota; Metazoa; Chordata; Mammalia; Chiroptera; Pteropodidae
Exons: 3
Source: RefSeq, a predicted model, not a curated record